This 540-nucleotide ribosomal RNA is filed under the name Trigonopterus kuscheli. Its description in RNAcentral is "partial 16S ribosomal RNA". Lineage: Eukaryota; Metazoa; Arthropoda; Insecta; Coleoptera; Curculionidae. The record is from RNAcentral.
ACCUGGCUCACACCGGUUUAAACUCAGAUCAUGUAAAAUUUUAAAGGUCGAACAGACCUAAUUUACUAGCUUCUACACCAAUAAUUAAUUUUAAUCCAACAUCGAGGUCGCAAUCUUUCUUUUCGAUAAGAACUCUAAAAAAAAUUACGCUGUUAUCCCUAAGGUAAUUCAAUCUUAUAAUCUAAACUUUAGGAUCAUAUAUACACUAAUAAAUGAUAUUAUAAAAAAAAAGUUAAUUUAAUUUUUCUAUCUCCCCAACAAAAUAUUUUUUCAUUAAAAUAAUUUAUAAACCUUAAAUUUCAAUUAACUUAAAAUAUAAAACUCUAUAGGGUCUUCUCGUCUUCUAUAUACAUUUAAGCUUUUUUACUUAAAAAUAAAAUUCUAAUAAAUUUUUAUAGAGACAGCUACCUUCUCAUCAAACCUUUCAUUCCAGCUUUCAAUUAAAAAACUAUUGAUUAUGCUACCUUUGCACGGUUAAUAUACCGCGGCCAUUAAAAUACUCAUUGGGCAGGUCAGACUUAAAAUUAUAGUUAAUAAGCC